CCCCCCUCUGGUCCGAAUUGGACAAGGGGCGCAGCCCCCUUGUCCUUCUUCCUCUCCCCCUCUUUCCCCUUCUCCUACUCCAACAAGGAAGGAAGGAGUCCUACUCCCGGUGGGAGUAGGACUCCCCUUGGCGCGCCCCCUCCUAGGCCGGCCGCCCCCUCCCCCUUGCUCCUUUAUAUACGGGGGCAGGGGGGCACCUCUAGACACACAAGUUGAUCUUCGUGAUCGUUCCUUAGCCAUGUGCGGUGCCCCCCUCCAUCAUAUUCCACCUCGGUCAUAUUGUAGCGGUUCUUAGGCGAAGCCCUGCGACGGUAGAAUAUCAAGAUCGUCACCAUGCCGUCGUGCUGACGGAACUCCUCCCCGACGCUUUGCUGGAUCGGAGCCCGGGGAUCGUCAUCGAGCUGAACAUGUGCCAAGAACUCGGAGGUGCCGGAGUAACGGUGCUUGGAUCGGUAGAACCGUGAAGACGUACGACUACAUCAACCACGUUGUGCUAACGCUUCCGUUGUCGAUCUACAAGGGUACAUAGAUCACACUCUCCCCUCUUGUUGCUAUGCAUCACCAUGAUCUUGCGUGUGCGUAGAAUUUUUUUGAAAUUACUACGUUCCCCAACAUGAGCCAACAUGGGUAUCCAGAUCCCGCUGUUGGUUAUUGACCGGAGAGUUCUCUCGGCCAUGUCUGCAUGAAUCCCGAGCCCGUAGGGUCUACACACUUAAGGUUCGAUGACGCUAGGGUUAUAGGGAAAGUAUGUACGCAGUUACCGAAUGUUGUUCGGAGUCCCGAAUGAGAUCCCGGAUGUCACGAGGAGUUUCGAAAUGGUCCGGAGGUAAAGAUUUAUAUAUGGGAAGUCCCGGUUUGGUCACAGAAAAGUUUCGGGUGCUAUCUGUAACGUACCGGGACCACCGGGAGGGUCCCGAGGUCCACCAGGUGGGGCCACCAGCCCCAGAAGGCUACGUGGGCCAAGUGUGGGAGGGGACCAGCCCCAGGUGGGCUGGUGCGCCCCCCACCAAGGCCCAAGGCGCGUGGAGAGUGAGAAGGGGGCAAACCCUAGGUCCAGAUGGGCCUUAAGGCCCACCCUAGGGCGCCCCCUCUCUUCCCCCCCCCCUUGGCCGCACCCUAGAUGGGUUUUGGGGGCUGCCGCCACCCAUAGGGAUGGAACCCUAGAUGGGGGCGCAGCUCCUCCCCUCUCCCUAUAUAUACUUGAGGUAUUGGGGGCUGCCCAACACAUGAUUUGAUCUUCCUCUUGGCGCAGCCCUACCUCUCUCCCUCCUCGUCUCUUGUAGUGCUUGCUGAAGCCCUGCUGGAGUCCCGCGCUCCUCCACCAUCACCACGCCGUCGUGCUGCUGCUGGACGGAGUCUUCCCCAACCUCUCCCUCUCCCUUGCUGGAUCAAGACACGGGAGACGUCACCGGGUUGUACGUGUGUUGAACGCGGAGGCGCCGUUGUUCGGUGCUUAGAUCAGAAUCGACCGUGAUCUGAAUCGCUGCGUGUACGACUCCACCAACCGUGUUCUUGCAACGCUUUCGCUUAGCGAUCUACAAGGGUAUGUAGGUGCACUCCCCUUCCUCUCGUUGCUAGAUUACUCCAUAGAUUGAUCUUAGUGAUGCGUAGAAAAUUUUAAAUUUCUACUACGAUCCCCAACAGACGUGGCGGAGGCGGGUGAUGUGGAUCAAUGGGUGGGCCGGCGCGCGAGCGACGGCUAUGAUUGGCCGCCGCAUGGCGCGAGGCCGCCAGGUCGGGGCAAUGCAGGUUUCCCGGUCGGAGCAGGGCGGUGACGGCCGAUGCUGGGCAACGGGCGGACGGCGACUGGCCCUGAUGGGCCGCCGCGGCGCGCGUGGCCGCCGGGUCGGAGGAGAGGCCGGCUGGUCGCUCCGGGGUUGGAGUAGAGGCGCAUGGGGGUCGACGGCGGCAGCGGGCGACGCAAACCGAUCAUGAUUUCAUCGAAAAACCAAAAAGGAAAACGCCGAUCAAAACGACCAAUGAGAGAGCGAAAAAACACGGAGCAAAGGCUCGGAAAAAAGACUCUCUAGGGCAACCGGCCAACACGGCCGGGACGAACCCUAGAUACAGGUGGCGCGGCCCCCGGCGGCGAUCAUGGUGGCCGACCGCCCGGGAGGCGGCGCGCAGGUGCGCAAGCGGCGGCGCCUAGGGUUUGAAUUAUGAUUAGGCUGAUACCAUGUUAGAAGGAAGGGAUAGGAUUGAUGAAAUUGUUCGUUGUAUUGCUUCAGCCUCAUGGAUAUAUAUAUAGGAAUACAUGAUCUAUUUGGAGUACAAGACAAGCCAGAAUACUUUCUACUUUAUCCUAUAUUUUCUAAUACAAUCACAUUACUCAACAAAUACCUAAGUCUAUCUUAAAAGUUCUCAUCACAAGUCCUGUUGGUUGUAUUGUAGAGAUAAUGACACACUUGAUACUUCCUUAAUUUGUGUUGUAUGGUCUCUAGUCUCUACACAUGUUCAUUAUCCUGUCCUGCCGUAUUUCAUCUUCUGAAAGUUUCCUGGUUACAAUUUCUGAAUUAUUCUUGCACAACUUCCUAGUAUGCUUCGAAUGGAUAUUGAUCCCACCAUGUGACUGCCCUAUAACUGGUUUUAUUCAGUACACGCUACGUGAUACGUAAUUUUGGCACCAUGACCAACAUAUACUAAGAAGACUAGGCCCGUAAGGGUUCGAUUUUUCUGGGUUUUUUGGAAAUUUUUUUACCCCUGCUGAUUGAGCGACACGUGUGCAUGGUGGCUUUCGUGAAAUGGUUGAUUGCUCUCUUGGUUGCUCACUUGGACUGUGCAUGUUUCUUCUAAAGGUGCAUGGGCUUAUAUUGUCUCAUGUGGAAAGGUGGUAUGACUGCAUGAGCUGAUUUUGUCUCAUGUGAGAAAAAAAUAUUAGCUGCAUGGGAUGUUGUAUGGGCUGGUAUACGUGUGCUGCUGCAUGGCUCAUGCAUGCAUGCAUGUGUCCAUCUUUGCAUGUUUGGAGUUCCACGUUUGCACAUCGUUUGUGUUCUGGGUCCUUCUUUGCUUGCCUAUAAGUAGCUCCUUGCUGUGUUCUUCUCUUAUGUGUCAAACCACUCCUCACCUAUAGGCCCAUCUCUCCUCCUGAUGCUGCCCUCCAGCCUCCACCCAAGAUCCCAUGGUGCGCCUGGUUGCCGCUCCGUCUGGCCGGCCGGGAGGUGCGUGCAAGCUACACCAUGAAUCAGGAGAGCCGCAUGACAUCAUCUUCUCAUAGAUCUUCCUCGGCUCCGGCUCUGUCCCUGGCCUCCAAGGCGGAUACAUGGCGGUGGCCUUCCCAUGGUCCAAGGUGGCACGCCUGCAGUUGGCGCUGGAUAGCUCGCUGCCCUGCCGCUCUCCAUCCUAAUCGACUCCCCUCAGUCUUCCCCAACUUCGGCCCCGGCAAUAGGUCCCCUUCAUCUCCCUUUCCUCUCCUCUGGUGUGCGUGGUUUCCUUGUACGAGUAGACGAGUUAUUAGUACUAGAAUUUCAUCAGAUCUAAAGUUGGGUGCAUAUGCUACAAAUUCUUAAUCUAAGAAGAAUGUUCAGGCAUUGCGUGCAUGUCUGUGCUGAGGACACAAAUUUGGGGGUCCAGCUCCUUGUGUGAAUGUGCAAGGAAUUCGGAACCUGCAUCUUUAAUAUGACAUGGUAUAUUUAUUCUUAAUCUCUCCAUUACGUUUUGUGUUUCAUUUUCUCGAUGGAAGUAAUUGUGGUUUAAUUUCACAUGGUUUUUAAACAAAUAAACACAUGAUGUGCUGAAUAGCUGACAUGCAGAGGAAAUGGUACAGCUUGAUGACUAUUUUACUACUAAAUUAUUCUCAGGUAUUUAUUGUUCCUUUUGUGAUAGUUUUCUCUCUCCUAAAAAUAAAAUGAAUCAUUUUUAAUUCUUUGAACAAGUUUGCCUAAAGUAGGGCGCUCAGCCAUUGAGGCAUUAUCAAUUUCUUUUAGAAGCUUAGCAAAAUCUGCUCUUGUACUAAAGAAAUCUAAUGUAGAUUUGUUAGCCUUAUAGGGUACUAUAUGCUGAACACAUGAUAUUAAAUAUACAAUAAAUUGCACUGUGAAGUGAGUAUGUAUAUACUAUCCACACAGGAUUGCCAUUUUGGAGAUGUUGUGUCACAUCCCUAGCUGCUGGUAGUGCUCUAGGCUAGCUCAUGUGUGCAUCAUGUUUAAAUUUUUGAAACUUGAACUGAGGAAUUUUGGAAGCCUCAAAAACUUAAAUAAAAGAGGGGCAAAAACCCUAGAAAUCUCAUUCAUUGCUCCAAAAUGCUCUUCGUAAAUGUUUAAUAAUUUUUGGUAAGGGUUCUGGUCCCAACCAAAAUAUUGAACAUUUUUAAGGAAUUAUUUUUGGGACUUUGGAUUUAAUUCAUUAGCUAUUUGAAUUUGAAUUAUAUUCAUAUAAUUAGAAUAUAAUUUCAAAUACCCCUGAUAUAUUUUAUAAGCUUUUGGAAAAGUCCAUUUAGCAAUAUAAAAUAUUCAGAGGAGUUUUUAGCUUUGUUUGAAUUUUUUUAAAUUCAAAACAGUGGCAAAAUAAAUUAAAUAAACAAAACAGAAGAAAAAAAUAAAAAGAACAGAAGCCUACCUGGGCCACUUACCUGUAGCCGGCCCAGCUGGCCAGCUCCUCCCGCUGGCCCAGCCCACCGCCGCCUCCCUCCCCUGUCGCCUUCCUCCUCUGCCAGGAGGACGGGCACGCGCCCGGCGCGCGCGGCCACGCGCCCCGGCCACCUCCUCCCUGCCUGGCUGCCUCCUCCUCCCCUGGUCCCUCCCGCGACGCCACGCAGUCCCCGACCCCCUCUCCCUUCUCCCUCUCUCCCGCGUCCUCAUCCUCUCCCCGGAACCCUCUCCCCCCCCUCCUCUGUUCUCCUCACCGAGCGGAGCCCGUCGCCGCCGCUCGCCAUAACCACGGCCACCGGGCCUCCCUCGCUCCCCCGACUAGCCCAGAGGCUCCGCCUCGACCCCCUCUUCCCUCUCCACCGACCCACGGCCCUCCGGAAGCCCUGCAACGCCGCCACCAUCGCCGUUCCGUCGCCGGCCACCGAAGCUCACCGUUGGCGAUUCGCCGCCUCCGACGCCUCCCCGAGCUCCCCGAGGCCACCGUCGCAACCCCUGUGAGCUCCGCCACCGUUUCCCCCUCUUUCCCUCUUCGUUUGGUUGCCGUAGCCGUCGCCCCCUUGAUGACCGAAACCCGCCGCCGUCUGUGAUCGCCGCCGACGUGCCUCCGGCCACCUAGUGGCCCGGCUGUCGUGCUCAGCUUCCUCCCCGCGCUGCCUGGAACACGUAGGUGCCCCGCACGAGCCUCCCCGGCCACCGUAGCGUCAACCCCGAGCUCGCCCGAGCUCCGGCGACCGCCACGCUCGACGCCGGUGACGACUCCGGCCAUCUUAGGCCCAGCCGCUGCCACUACUCGACGCGGACGAGCGCCCGCGUCACGUAGACGCUCUCCGCCGGCCAUUUGGUCAUCGGAGGAGGAAACCCGCACCCCUCCGCCGUUUCUGGCUCCGCCGGCGACGAGUCGCGGGUCAACUCCGGCGAGUUGACCCAGGUUUGACGUUCCCCGUGUGUCACUGACGUGUGGGCCACCCCCCUGACAUUUUAGUUAGUAUUAGUUUAACACUAAUUAACCUAGGUUAGUUAGCUGAUUAGUCGCUGACCAGUGGGCCCCGGCCCCACAAACAGUUUAGUUAGAAUUAACUUAAGGCUAAUUAACUUGGUUAAUUAGUUGUGUCACUGACCAGUGGACCCCACUGGUCAGGUUUGACCUGAAUCUGCCCCGUUGACCUGAUGACGUCAAGGUGAUGUCAUGCUGACGCAUUAAAUGAUUUUCUGGAUUUAAAAUAAAUCAGAAAAUCCAGAAAAUUGUAUAAACUUCUAAAAUUCAUAGAAAAUUAACCGUAACUCCAAAUUAAAUAAAUUAUAUAUGAAAAAUUAUCAGAAAAAUUCAAGGAAUCCAUCUGUACCAUUUUCAUGCAUGUUAGAACAACUUAUAGAUGCUGUUUAGCACAAAUCAAUUAAAUGGCAUUUAAAUAAUCACAUAUGGAGUUUGAAUUUGAAUCUUGUAUUCAAACCAACCCCAUUUAACUUGUUGCUAGAUGCAUUAGCCCAAAACACAUUCAUUUUGCCAUGUCAUGAUCAUGCAUCAUAUUGUGCAUUGGAUUGAUUGUGUUCCCUUCUGUGUUGCCGGUAUUUGUCCCCUCUCGAUAGACGUGAUACCGAUGAUGUGAUCGUUGACACUGAUGAAGACUCAAUGCUAUCUUCAGAAGUGCCAGGCAAGCAAAACCCCCUUGUUCAUUCCGAUAUAAUCCUACUCUCUCGCUCCUGCUCUCUUUUACUGCAUUAGGACAACACCGAUUCAUCUGUUACUUGCUGCGGUAGCUGAACCCCUUUAUCCUUUGCAUGACCUGUCAUUGCCACAGUAAAUAGACGAAACCCACUAGCAUGAGUAGGAGUUGUUUGAGCCCUGAUGUGCCUACUCAUUCAUGCUUGUUUGUCAUGCCUGCUACUGCUUAGAGUUGAGUCAGGUCUGAUUCAUCGGGGAUGAAUCAGAGGCGUGUGAACAUGUCCUACUGUGUGUGAGCUAGGUGUGUGAACACGAUUUGGUAAAGGUAGCGGUGAGAGGCCAUGUAGGAGUACAUGGUGGGUUGUCUCAUUGAAGCCGUCCUCAGGAACUGAGUUCUGUGUUUGUGAUCCAUGAUUCAGCUACUACCAUACAUUGGGCCCUGAAAUAUGACCCCGCUCGACUUCUUAUUCACCCUAGUCCUCUGUCCAGGAGUUGCAAGUAGUUUCUGGUGUUUGUAGCUUACUGGAGGCCGUGGACAGCGCUGACCGUAGGGGUGGGCUGUGAUGCGGUAGGUACGUGGCACGGUGUACCGGAUGCCCGUUUGGUAUCUCGGGAACCCUGUUCACAUCGUUUGGGGCUGUGAGCGAAACUCCGGCCGGAUCUCCUCAUGGAUGGAACCCGAAUAGGCGAUAAACCUGGACUAGAGACUUGAGUGUUUAGGUAGGUCGUGGUCUACACCCACGUCGGCUUUCGCUUGAAGUCUGCCGAGCACAUGUCGUGUGCAGACGCUAAGUGGUGGAAACAUGUAUGAAGAAGUACACCCCUGCAGGGUUAACAUCAUCUAUUCGAAUAGCCGUGUCCGCGGUAAAGGACUUCUGGGUUGCUUACAUCAGUUCAUAGACAAGUGAAAGUGGAUACUUUAAAAUGCGCAAGAUAAGCGUGAGUGCUAUGGAUGGCGUUCUCGUAGGGAGACGGGAGCGGAUCCAUAGUGGUGUAUUGAUAUGGUGAAUAUGUGGACUCGUGUGCGCCACCUCAAAAGAGUUACAUUGCAGUCGUAGUUUAGGAUAGCCACCGAGUCAAAGCUGGCUUGCUGCAGUUAAACCCCACCAUCCCCUUUGUUGAUAAUGAUGCAUAUGUAGUUAGUUCUGAUGUAAGUCUUGCUGGGUACAUUUGUACUCACAUUUGCCUAUUUUAUGUUUUUGCAGAGAGACUUCAGUCUCACUAUUAGUUCCGCUUGGACUUCGACGUUUAGCUUGUUACCUCAGCUACGAUCUUGUGCCCUCGGCAGGAUCUGGUAGAUAGUCAGGCUUCUCAGCCUUUUUCAUUUAUAGAUGUCUGUACUCAGACAUGAUAGCUUCCGCUUGUGCUUUGACUUGUAUGCUCUGAUUGUUGGGUCAUGAGACCCAUGUUUGUAAUGUCUCGCUCCUCGGAGCCUAUUGAAUAGACUACUUGAGUCGUAGAGUCAUUUUGUGAUGCCAUGUUGUAUUGCACAUAUCGAGCAUAUUGUGUGUAUGUUAUUGAAAUGCUUGGUAUGUGUGGGAUCUGACUAUCUAGUUGUUUAUCUUUAGUAGCCUCUCUUACCGGGAAAUGCCUCCUAGUGUUUCCACCGAGCCAUGGUAGCUUGCUACUGCUCCGGAACACUUAGGCUGGCCGGCAUGUGUCCUUCUUCGUUCCUGUGUCUGUCCCUUCGGGGAAAUGUCACGCGAUGAAUACCGGAGUCCUAUUAGCCCGCUACAGCCCGGUUCACCGGAGUCCUGCUAGCCCAGUGCUACAGUCUGGAUUCACUCGCUGAUGACCGACACGUUCGAUGCUGGGUCAUGGAUGCCUGUCCCUGUAAGUUUGUGCCACUUUGGGUUUACGACUAGCCAUGUCAGCCCGGGCUCCUUAUCAUAUGGAUGCUAGCGACACUGUCAUAUAUGUGUGCCAAAAGGCGCAAACGGUUCCGGGUAAAGGUAAGGCGACACCCGUGGGAAUACCGUGCGUGAGGCCGCAAAGUGAUAUGAAGUGUUACAUGCUAGAUCUAUGUGGCAUUGAGUCGGGGUCCUGACAUGUUGCUGGGAUCAUCAUGGAUUGGGAUGCAUUUUGAUAAUAAGAUAUUAGGUAUUGAUAUGUGAUAUGUAUGUCACACUUGACUUCAUCAUCCUUUGUUUUUAGAUGUAUUCUUUAGGCAUACAUUAAUGUGGUAGCUUGGUCAUAUUAUUUAGCUAAUUUAGUCACUAAAUACUCGGAUUUUUUCCCGACUCCCAUUAUAAAGAACUUCCACUUGCCAUCUCUAUAUGAAUUUUCUUUUUGCUACCGAUUUUGGCUAAAGGUUUUUUGGCUCUCAUCUCUAUAUGGAUAUGUUUUUUUAAGGUUAGUAGUUUAGAAGUUCCUGCCAACACUGGUUUUUCGAAGUUAUACUCCCUUCACCAGUUGGGCUUAACAAGGACAUAAUUAAUUCUCUGUUGGUAAUUAGAAGGAAAAAAAUCUGGUUGGAGAAAACUUCUCUUUUGCUUAAUUGUUUACUUCAUAAUUUUAGUAAAAAAAAUCAUUUUUUUCAGGUUAGUAGUAUGGGAGUACCUGUCAAGACUGACUUUUGGAAGUUAUGCUAGCCUCAUCAGUUGGGCUUUCUAUACAAAACUAGACUCAAUAUAAUUUAUUUUGGUGCUUGCGAUGAGUAUUAGACAGAGGGGUGAUGACCACAUAGUUCACCCAGUGUAUCUGUUCAUGUAUGUCAUUAAUUAUCUAAUUAGACAAAAAAAACUCUCUCUGUAUGGUGUUUGUGAUGAUGCUGUCAAUUUACUAAACACUAAAAUACCAGGUUGUUAUUUUCAAAUCUAGCAAAUUAAUUUUCUCUAUUGCUUCUUUUCCAGGCAGAAGUUUUAGUCUAUUAUGUUCCAUGAGUCUUACUGUCAAAA
Molecule: long non-coding RNA, 9146 nt
Filed under: Triticum aestivum (bread wheat)
Lineage: Eukaryota; Viridiplantae; Streptophyta; Magnoliopsida; Poales; Poaceae
Description: long non-coding RNA (TAES_LNC005604)
Source: RNAcentral